AUUGAACGCUGGCGGCAGGCCUAACACAUGCAAGUCGAACGGUAACAGGAAACAGCUUGCUGUUUCGCUGACGAGUGGCGGACGGGUGAGUAAUGUCUGGGAAACUGCCUGAUGGAGGGGGAUAACUACUGGAAACGGUAGCUAAUACCGCAUAACGUCGCAAGACCAAAGAGGGGGACCCUCGGGCCUCUUGCCAUCGGAUGUGCCCAGAUGGGAUUAGCUUGUUGGUGGGGUAACGGCUCACCAAGGCGACGAUCCCUAGCUGGUCUGAGAGGAUGACCAGCCACACUGGAACUGAGACACGGUCCAGACUCCUACGGGAGGCAGCAGUGGGGAAUAUUGCGCAAUGGGCGCAAGCCUGAUGCAGCAAUGCCGCGUGUAUGAAGAAGGCCUUCGGGUUGUAAAGUACUUUCAGCGGGGAGGAAGGGAGUAAAGUUAAUACCUGUGCUCAUUGACGUUACCCGAAGAAGAAGCACCGGCUAACUCCGUG
This 490-nucleotide ribosomal RNA is filed under the name uncultured bacterium. Its description in RNAcentral is "partial 16S ribosomal RNA". It matches the Rfam family "Bacterial small subunit ribosomal RNA", at positions 30 to 507 of the family's 1533-position model. The record is from RNAcentral.